Molecule: unclassified non-coding RNA, 102 nt
Organism: Gorilla gorilla gorilla (western lowland gorilla)
Lineage: Eukaryota; Metazoa; Chordata; Mammalia; Primates; Hominidae
Rfam family: Y RNA
About the family: Y RNAs are components of the Ro ribonucleoprotein particle (Ro RNP), in association with Ro60 and La proteins.
Source: Ensembl
AGCUGGUCUGAGUGCAGUGGUGUUUACAACUAAUUGAUCACAACCAGUUACAGAUUUCUUUGUUCCUUCUCCACUCCCACUGCUUCACUUGACUAACCUUUG